GCAGGGGUAGUCAAGCAUGGCCAACGACGCUAGGUUGAGGGCCUAGUCCUUCAGUGGUCCGUGGGUUCAAAUCCCAUCCCCUGCACC
RNAcentral lists this transfer RNA (87 nucleotides) under bioreactor metagenome. RNAcentral's name for it is "tRNA-Leu". It matches the Rfam family "tRNA". From Rfam's summary of the family: Transfer RNA (tRNA) molecules are approximately 80 nucleotides in length. Their secondary structure includes four short double-helical elements and three loops (D, anti-codon, and T loops). Further hydrogen bonds mediate the characteristic L-shaped molecular structure. tRNAs have two regions of fundamental functional importance: the anti-codon, which is responsible for specific mRNA codon recognition, and the 3' end, to which the tRNAs corresponding amino acid is attached (by aminoacyl-tRNA synthetases). tRNAs cope with the degeneracy of the genetic code in two manners: having more than one tRNA (with a specific anti-codon) for a particular amino acid; and 'wobble' base-pairing, i.e. permitting non-standard base-pairing at the 3rd anti-codon position. The record is from RNAcentral.